UACGAAGGGGGCUAGCGUUGUUCGGAAUCACUGGGCGUAAAGCGCACGUAGGCGGGUUCUUAAGUCGGGUGUGAAAGCCCCGGGCUCAACCUGGGAAUUGCAUUCGAGACUGAAUAGCUAGGGUACGGUAGAGGGAAGCGGAAUUUCCGGUGUAGCGGUGAAAUGCGUAGAUAUCGGAAGGAACAUCAGUGGCGAAAGCGGCUUCCUGGACCAGUACCGACGUUCAGGCACGAAAGCGUGGGGAGCAAACAGG
RNAcentral lists this ribosomal RNA (253 nucleotides) under uncultured bacterium. RNAcentral's name for it is "partial 16S ribosomal RNA". It matches the Rfam family "Bacterial small subunit ribosomal RNA", at positions 524 to 776 of the family's 1533-position model. The record is from RNAcentral.